Long non-coding RNA from Scylla paramamosain (green mud crab), 580 nucleotides. RefSeq lists it as uncharacterized. Lineage: Eukaryota; Metazoa; Arthropoda; Malacostraca; Decapoda; Portunidae. The transcript is spliced from 3 exons. The record is from RefSeq and is a predicted model, not a curated record.
GGGAAGCAGGAAAGUGCCGUAUGUUGCUGCUCCUCCUAAAGUUGUCCUGAUUUGUUCCCUUCUCGUGUCAGAACAACUACAAGCAGGGCGUGUCGUGAGGAAGUGGAGCGGAGUGUGGCUGUAUAUUGUAGUAUUCUCAGGAAUACUCGGCAAGGAACACUAGAAGAGACUGUGGUAAGACAUGGCCAUGUGUAUGUGCAAAGGAGAGAGAUAAGGAGUACACAGAGAAGAGGAAGACGAGAGGUGGUUAAUGCAUACAAUACAGGAAGAUGCAAAAGUAAUGUGUGUAGAUGUAGAAGAUGGAGCAAGGUGGAUGGCUAAUUAGCUGCAAUGACACCUAAUGUGAACAGCCCAGAGUAGGGAGACACAGACAGUCAAGGUGAGGUCAGAUGAUGGUGUUUUGUCUGGGGAGACAAUGCAACACAUCAAUAGUAGCUUAAGCCACAAACAAACAAGUGGAGAGAGGUGGACAGAACAGAGAUGAGAGAAAGAAGAAAGUCUUGUGCAGCAAAGCCAGAAAAGGAGGGGAGGCAUGCAGUUAGCAGCAAGAUCAGAAGACCAGUCAGCAUGAAAAUAGCAG